ACACUCGCACGCACACGCUCCUCCGGCCCCGCCAUGUUCCGGGAGGCGGCGGCAGCCCAGCCCCGCCAGCCGCGGUGAGGGGCGCCCGCGACGAGGCCAGCUCGCGGCCCUCCGCCCGGCCCCCGCCCCGCCCCGCGCAGCGCCCCCGCCCAGUUGGCGGCUCCCACCUGCGCCGCGGCUCCUCGCGACGCCGGGAGGGGCGGCGGCGGGCGGGGCCCCGGCGGACCCGCGCCGGGGGGCACUAACGGCCUGUCACUGUCAGGCGAGCUACGGCUCGGGCCAGGCUGGGCGGGCGGCGCGUCGGGACCGGGGGGGGCGGGCAGGGCGCGUCCCCUACCUUGCUCUGGGGAGGGGGAACGGGAGCAGCGCAGAACUGAGGGGAUCUCCUCCCUGGCGCCGGGGACAAGCUCGAAACCGCGCCCCUCCUUCCUCCUUUCCUGUCGCCACGCCCCCCUCACCCGUACGGACCCGAGGCAAGGCCGGCGCAGGAGGCUUCACCCCCGGAACGAGUGCUUCGGCGUAGCCGUCGCUGUCGUUGUCUUCGUCGCCGCUGCAGCCGCCUGUAAAGCCGCCGGAGCCGGGCUUGAAAACAUCUCCGGUCUCGGUCCGUCUCUCACCACAGCCUCCUCGCUCCCAGGACAGCGUCGCCCCGCGAUUGGCUGCGACGCGAGCACGUGACACCCGCGGACACGUGACUACCGCGGGCACGGGACGGGCGGCGUGACCGCCCCGCCCCCCGGCGCCCGCCCCUCCUGCUGCUCAGCCAGGCUCCGCGAGCCGCAGGGCGGGGAAGCGGGACGUACCAAGCGGCAGGCGGCGGAGGGGUGCGGGCCGGAACUCCGCCCUUCGUGCUGGUCGGUCUCCACGCCCCACUCGGACUAGUGUCACCGCCUCCCCGCCGCAGACACUAUCCGACAAAGGAGGGGGAAUCAAAGGCUGGGCGAAGAGGCAGGGCAGGCGCCGGUGACGCUGCUGGGCAAGCGGGCUCUGCAGUAGCAUUUGUGGCGACCGUGGCAGUGGCUGUGACUGGAAGCUUCUGGAAAUGGCGGCGAUGAGGACCCCCACAUAGGGUAUUCACCUGUUAUUUUUACACGGGGUGGGUGGACGAGCGUGAUCCAACUCAGGCAAAAUGACGCUGCGACCGCAGCCCGAGGACUAGGCGAAGUUCCCCCGCUAAGCCGGCGGCGGCCGUCUGGCCCCGCACCAGGCCGGAGAAGCUGCACCUACGCCCAGAGCCCGCGGCCCCCCGCCUCAGGUGGGGCCCUGGGCCCCGCCCCGAAAGCGCGGUAGCGUGCACCUGCCCUGGCACCAGGGGGUCUAGAGCGCGUCCCCUCCCAGCCACGCCUUCCAGUGGCCUUUUUAAAGAGGAAUUCAGUGCACCCUCCCACACGUAGUGUUGGGGAUUUGAGAGGGAGCUGCUCAGGUACUAGGAAGGGUGCCGGAGGAAAAUUGACCGUCGCAGCGUGGCAGCAGCGUGUACUCACUCCCUUCUGGGCGCGUUAUUUACGUAGAGGUUAAUCUGCAACAACAGCGUCUGUUUAUGACUUAGUGCAUGCAGUUACAAGUUUAUGUUACACUGUCCUUUAACGUCUUGAUGAACUGAGGGUUCAGGUGUGAUCACAGCAGAUGAAGUGACAUUCAGACCUGACAGGGACGGCGAGGUCCCAUCAAAUUACUAUGUAAAGCAUAAACCUGCAUUAAAGAUCAGGAGUUUUUCCUUUCCUGGGUUCCUGAUUUCUCCCACCUACAAAUCUUUAGGGUCAACAAGACUAGAAAAAGAGCACCUUAUGGCUAGAGGUGGAAUAGUGUUACAUUUAACUUGGUUAUUUAUGAUGUGAAAUACAAAGAAAAAAACAGUCGCCUAUGAGAAAGUCAGGAGAGCUCCAGGGUAGGACAUUUUCAUUGUUACUUUUUUGUGCCACUUGGAAAAUUAACUGUUGUUUACCUUCUCUCAAUUAAAAAAAAAAUCUUAAAGACAUACUUAAAAAUAAUCGUUAUAGCCGAGCGCAGUGGCUCACGCCUGUAAUCCCAGCAAUUUGGGAGGCUCAGGCGGGCAGAUGGCUUGAGCCCAGGAGUUUGAGACCAGCCAGGCAACAUAGUAAGACCCUGUCUCUAAAAAAAUAUAUGAAAAUUAACCAGGCUGGUGGCGCCUGCCUGUGCUCCCAGCUGCUCAGGAGGCUGAGGCCAGGGUAUUGCAGUGAACCAAGAUCACACCACUGCACUCCAGCCUGGGGACACAGCCUGUCUCAAAAAAAAAAAGCAUAAUUACUAGUGAAUAGUCUGUUUCAAGUACAGGUGACUUUGAGAAAUCGAGGAUUAGAUUAAUAUAAAUUAUUCAUGCAUUAAAGCUGGCUAAUGCAAAACUAAUGUACUACAGCUAAUUUCUUAAAUACACAAAAGGGUUUAUCCUUUUUUCUAAGUUGUAAUAUCCAUACCACUGCAGAGUACAUAAUCAUACUUCCAAUCCCUUCACCCAAUUAUUUUUUGUAUACUUGCAGUGUCAGAAUAGCUAAGGAUAAUGUCAAGUGUUUUGGACCUUUCUUUUUUAAAAAUGGUAAUGCUUAAGCCGGGCGUGGUGGCUCACGCCUGUAAUGCUUGCAGUGAGCCGAGAUCCCACCACUGCACUCCAGCUUGGGAGACAGCGAGACUCCGUCUCAAAAAAAAAAAAAAAAAAAAAAAGGCUUCUAGAGACAACUACCAUAUCCUCCUUAAACCUACAGUGUGCUUGAGGUCUUACCAGUUGGAAAUACAGUAACAAUUAUGUGUUUUAAAUAAUGUUUAAAGGGAGCACUGACAAAGUUUAUAGAAAGAUCAUGUUAACUUAAAACUUGGCUGUGGCUAAAGAUGGGAAAGCAAAACAUUUGUAAUUUAACCAAAUUUUUACUUCACAGUAACCUGAUCUUGAUAAAAGCGAUCUGGAAAUUGAAAAUGGGUGACACUAGAGUAACUGUUAACUAGAUUAUAUAAUGAUGUCUUCACAGCCAUAGAUAGAAGACUUUAAAAUGGUCCUCUGUCAUUAUGACAUAAUACUUAGAGCUGCAAGUUGCUACGGUUAGCAUGAGGAUGUACACAGAGCAGAAUAAACAAAUAAGUUUACGUAGAUUGGAAGUCCAUAUUUUAUUUCUCUAGUGACAUAUUUACAGUUCAAUAUAAAUUAAAGGCCUGCUUGUACACCAAAUCCAGGUCCCUUGGGUGGUUCAGUCAAAGAGGUAAGACCUCCAGCUGGCUCACAAGAGAAGCGUCCACUCCUGAAAUGAAAAGUAAUAUUAAACUAUUAAUGAUUAACAUUUGUAAAUUUUUACUUAAAUUGUAAUGGUUACCUCACAAGAGCCCAGUUAAGUAACUAUUUUUACCCUAAGAACUAGCAUAGAUUAUUUAAUUCAAACAUUUCAACUGAUGCAAGAUUUUCUCUUCCUAAAUUUAAAUAUGGAAAAACAUCAGACUUCACCAUAAACAUAAAAAAUACAAAAGUAGCCCUAAUAAUAGUUCCUAUUUACUGAGCAGUAUGCAUACACUAGCUCAUUGAAUCCUUACGAUGCCACAAGACAAGUGAUACUGGCUUUAUUUUACAGUUAGAGAAACCAAAUUUGGGAGAUUCAGCAUCUACCCAAGAAUCAAAGCAAAGAACUACGGCAAAAAUACCCAACCCCAGAGAACAUUUUUAAAAACCAUGUUUUAAUAAACUAGAGCACUGUAUUUCUUUUUAGAGUUGAAUUUUAUUUAGAUCAAGAUCCACAGUCACAGUGAAUAGAGGGAAUACACACACUUAUACAUUGUAUUUGGAAAUAGAAACUGGAUUCCUUGAGGAAAUAUGAUUUGGGACAAUGUCCCUUAGAAGCAGCGAAGUCAAAAUCAGUUUGUAUUUAUGUAUUAUAAAGACUAUAUUAGUAGUAGUAAUUUUCUGAAAAAAGUUUCCAAACCAGGAUGGCCAUAGCAGCCACAAAAGGAAGCAAACAAGAACAAGUCCUGAUGGAGCAAUUUAUGAAGACAGGCAGCAUAGAGGGAGAAGAACCUGUCUGUCAACCCCACACACGCUUUCCCAGGUAAUUGCUCACCUCUGCCCUGUCUGACCUCUGUUUCUAGAGCCCAGCUCAGACUUACUGUAUGUCACCCCUCCACCACUAUUCCCUGGCUUUGCUAAUUUACCUGUUCCUGCCACAGAUUUACCUAAAGAAAGAACUUGUUCAGUUUAUAUCUUUUCAACCCCCUCUGGCUUUGCCCUUCACAUUGUGUCAUCAAUCCUUUAAGUCUGUUCUUUAGAGCCCUAGGGAAUCAUUUUUUAUUGGAGCCAGGAAAGUGACACCACAUAAUAUAAGAUCUUUCAAGAUGUCACAGCAUAUAAUACAAGUUACUAAGUAAUGAACAAUUAUCUACAAAGUCAGAACUUAGUUAAUAUCUUUGGAUUAUAGGUCUUGUUCACUACAAAAACAGAUAAAAAAGCAGUCAUUGUAUACUGUAAGAGCCUGAAACUUGUAGAGUAAGCAGCAAAAUGAUACUUAACUUUAAAAAAAAGACAACAGUAUUAUAUUUUGCAAUUUUUAAAUUUAUUUAUUAUUUUUGAGACAGGGUCCCACUUUGUCACCCAGGCUGGGAUGCAGUGAUGCAAUAAUGGCUCACUGCAGUCUUAACCUCCCAGGCUCAGGUGCUUCUGUCACCUCAGCCUCCCACGUAGCUGGGACUACAGGUGUGCGUCACCAUGCCUGGCUAAUUUUUGUAUUUUUCGUAGAGACAAGACCUCACCAUGUUGCCCUGGCUGGUCUUGAAUUUGUGGGCUCAAACAAUCUGUCCGCCUCAACCUCCCAAAGUGCUGGGAUUACAGGUGAGCCACUGUGCCCGGCCUGUAAUUUUUUAUGUUGCCUAUUGAUAGGCACCACUGCUGCUCUUUAAAUGUCAAUGAAAUUAUUUUGGAGAAACUUUCUUCACCUUUACUAGGUUUCUUCUUACGGUUUAAGCUCAGCUACCUCUUCUUUUCUGCCUAAAACUUUUCUCUUGAUCAAAUAUCAGAAUGGAAUAUGAUUUAAAAGUUUCAUUUUAGACGUCUCCUGAAAGCUGAGCAUUUGUUAUCUUAAAGCCUCUUACCAGUUUGGAUAGAUAUGGAUCUUCCAAAAUUAAUGAGCUCCUUAAUAUCGACACUGUUUAUCAACAUAAAGGAUCAAUUUAGGAAGAUUAUAAAAACUGAAGUUUCCGGAACAAUAAAUGGGAGAAUUAAUCUUCUGAAUCAAGGACGUAUCCCUGAAUCUGGGGAGCUCUCUAUCAAAAUAUACAUGCUGGAACCCUACCAAAGGAAUAAUAAAUCUGGAAUGAGGCUCUGACUGUCUAAUUAGGAAAAGACUCCUUCCUGGAAUUCUGCACAUCUCCCUACACCUUAGUGACGGUUAAAUAAAUAAUUAUUAAGCUUCUGGAUAUUUUUUGUUGUAAGGUUAGGUGUUUCAUGGGUUGGGGGGAGGGGCAGUAACAUUAAAAUAAAAGUCCCAAAUGUAAAGUGCAAAGAAUCUUGAGUCUAUUCCCUAUACCCUACACUUCCUGCCUUUCCCCCACACAAAUCCAACCCUAAAUAUAAUAGGACAAUAUAUAAAUACAUAUUUUUUAAGAGAUAGGGUCUCACCAUCUUGCCCAGGCUGGUCUUAAG
Molecule: long non-coding RNA, 5629 nt
Filed under: Homo sapiens (human)
Lineage: Eukaryota; Metazoa; Chordata; Mammalia; Primates; Hominidae
Description: non-protein coding NDUFV2-AS1:7
Source: RNAcentral